Molecule: ribosomal RNA, 440 nt
Filed under: uncultured bacterium
Lineage: Bacteria
Description: partial 16S ribosomal RNA
Rfam family: Bacterial small subunit ribosomal RNA
Source: RNAcentral
CCUACGGGAGGCAGCAGUGGGGAAUAUUGCACAAUGGGGGAAACCCUGAUGCAGCGACGCCGCGUGAGUGAAGAAGUAAUUCGGUAUGUAAAGCUCUAUCAGCAGGGAAGAAAAUGACGGUACCUGAGUAAGAAGCCCCGGCUAACUACGUGACAGCAGCCGCGGUAAUACGUAGGGGGCAAGCGUUAUACGGAUUUACUGGGUGUAAAGGGGGCGGAGACGGCAGGGGAAGUCUGGAGUGAAAGGCGGGGGCUCAACCCCGGGACUGCUGUGGAAACUGUAGAGCUUGAGUGCUGGAGAGGUAAGUGGAAUUCCUAGUGUAGCGGUGAAAUGCGUAGAUAUUAGGAGGAACACCAGUGGCGAAGGCGGCUUACUGGACUGUAACUGACGUUGAGGCUCGAAAGCGUGGGGAGCAAACAGGAUUAGAUACCCGUGUAGUC